Small nuclear RNA from Jaculus jaculus (lesser Egyptian jerboa), 169 nucleotides. RefSeq annotates it as U1 spliceosomal RNA. NCBI's taxonomy places the organism in Eukaryota, Metazoa, Chordata, Mammalia, Rodentia, Dipodidae. The record is from RefSeq and is a predicted model, not a curated record. The transcript has a single exon.
AUGCAUAUCUGGCAGGGGAGAUGUCAUGAUCAAGAAGGUAGCUUUCCCAGUGUGGCCUAGCCAUCUCACUCUGAAUGUGUUGACCCCUGAAAUUCCCCCAAUUUCAGGAAAUUCGAAAUUCAAGUGUAUAAUUUGUGUUAGUGGGAGACUGCAUAUUCACUGUCUCAAA